Molecule: ribosomal RNA, 429 nt
Filed under: uncultured bacterium
Lineage: Bacteria
Description: bacterial SSU rRNA
Rfam family: Bacterial small subunit ribosomal RNA
Source: RNAcentral
AACGCGAAGAACCUUACCAGGGAUUGACAUGACCGUAGUAGUGAAGCGAAAGCGGAACGACCCUUCGGGGAGCGGCCACAGGUGAUGCAUGGCUGUCGUCAGCUCGUGCCGUGAGGUGUUUGGUUAAGUCCACUAACGAGCGCAACCCCUAGCGCCAGUUACACGUGUCUGGCGCGACUGCCGGUAUUAAGCCGGAGGAAGGUGGGGAUGACGUCAAGUCAGCAUGUCCUUUAUACCCUGGGCGACACACACGCUACAAUGGCCAGUACAAUGGGUUGCCAAGCCGCGAGGCGGAGCCAAUCCUCAAAAGCUGGUCUCAGUUCGGAUUGCAGGCUGCAACCCGCCUGCAUGAAGUCGGAGUUGCUAGUAACCGCAGGACAGCUAUACUGCGGUGAAUACGUUCCCGGGCCUUGUACACACCGCUACAGU